AACUUGUUUGAGGGCUCUUAACUUUUCUAUUAUUCAUAUUGCUGAAUAUCUGCUUAUAUAGAAGCUGUAUUUUUCUCUUUGUUCUUUCUAUCCAUUUGGUCCUUACUUGAUUCAAUUAGGGGAUUGAAUCAAGGGUGUAAAAGUUUGUUGGUGAGCCUAGGUUGAAACCAACGUGUAAGGGUUCGAUUGUGAUCCCGGAAAAACAAUCGGGUGGUUCUAGUCGGUGAGCCUGGGAAAACCGACCGAGUUCGUUGUGACCUCGUAAAACAACAAGUUAGGUUGUGAGCUUGUAAAACAACCGGCUGUAAUCCGAGGGAUUAUAGUGAAUUCCCAAGUGAGGCUUGGGGAGUGGACGUAGAAGCAAGGGUUAGCUCCGAACCACUUUAAAAUCUUUGUGUUUGUGAUUGCCUUGUCAUCUCUUACUUUCAUUUCAUUCACUGCACA
RNAcentral lists this long non-coding RNA (444 nucleotides) under Phoenix dactylifera (date palm). RNAcentral's name for it is "long non-coding RNA (PDAC_LNC012033)". Lineage: Eukaryota; Viridiplantae; Streptophyta; Magnoliopsida; Arecales; Arecaceae. The record is from RNAcentral.